ACGCACGCUGGCGGCGUGCUUAACACAUGCCAGUCGCACGGAAAGGCCCUGCUUUUGUGGGGUGCUCGAGUGGCGAACGGGUGAGUAACACGUGAGUAACCUGCCCUUGACUUUGGGAUAACUUCAGGAAACUGGGGCUAAUACCGGAUAGGAGCUCCUGCUGCAUGGUGGGGGUUGGAAAGUUUCGGCGGUUGGGGAUGGACUCGCGGCUUAUCAGCUUGUUGGUGGGGUAGUGGCUUACCAAGGCUUUGACGGGUAGCCGGCCUGAGAGGGUGACCGGCCACAUUGGGACUGAGAUACGGCCCAGACUCCUACGGGAGGCAGCAGUGGGGAAUAUUGCACAAUGGGCGGAAGCCUGAUGCAGCAACGCCGCGUGCGGGAUGACGGCCUUCGGGUUGUAAACCGCUUUCGCCUGUGACGAAGCGUGGGUGACGGUAAUGGGUAAAGAAGCACCGGCUAACUACGUG
Molecule: ribosomal RNA, 467 nt
Filed under: uncultured bacterium
Lineage: Bacteria
Description: partial 16S ribosomal RNA
Rfam family: Bacterial small subunit ribosomal RNA
Source: RNAcentral